GGAAUAUUGCGCAAUGGGCGAAAGCCUGACGGAGUGACGCCGCGUGGGGACGAAGGCCUUCGGGUCGUAAACCCCUGUCAGAGGGAAAGAAGGGCGUUGGCGUGAAUAGCGCCGACGUCUGACGGUACCUUCAGAGGAAGCCCCGGCUAACUCUGUGCCAGCAGCCGCGGUAAUACAGAGGGUGCAAACGUUGCUCGGAAUUACUGGGCGUAAAGCGCGUGUAGGUGGUUUCGCAAGUCAGGUGUGAAAGCCCGAGGCUCAACCUCGGAAGUGCACUUGAUACUACGGAGCUGGAGUCUUGGAGAGGAGAGCGGAAUUCCCGGUGUAGAGGUGAAAUUCGUAGAUAUCGGGAGGAACACCAGUGGCGAAGGCGGCUCUCUGGACAAGUACUGACACUGAGACGCGAAAGCAUGGGGAGCAAAC
RNAcentral lists this ribosomal RNA (423 nucleotides) under uncultured bacterium. Its description in RNAcentral is "bacterial SSU rRNA". It matches the Rfam family "Bacterial small subunit ribosomal RNA", at positions 358 to 773 of the family's 1533-position model. The record is from RNAcentral.